AAGUCGUAACAAGGUUUCCGUAGGUGAACCUGCGGAAGGAUCAUUACAGAGUUCAUGCCCUUCGGGGUAGACCUCCCACCCUUGUGUAUUUAUACCUUUGUUGCUUUGGCAGGCCGCCAGGCUCUGUCCUGGCUACCGGCCCCGGCUGGUACGUGCCUGCCAGAGGACCCCAAACUCUGAAUGUUAGUGUCGUCUGAGUACUAUAUAAUAGUUAAAA
This 217-nucleotide unclassified non-coding RNA is filed under the name plant metagenome. Its description in RNAcentral is "partial contains small subunit ribosomal RNA and internal transcribed spacer 1". The stretch from base 1 to 46 matches the Rfam family "Eukaryotic small subunit ribosomal RNA", at positions 1786 to 1831 of the family's 1831-position model. The record is from RNAcentral.